GACGAACGCUGGCGGCGUGCUUAACACAUGCAAGUCGAACGGAAAGGCCCUGCUUUUGUGGGGUGCUCGAGUGGCGAACGGGUGAGUAGCACGUGAGUAACCUGCCCUUGACUUUGGGAUAACUUCAGGAAACUGGGGCUAAUACCGGAUAGGAGCUCCUGCUGCAUGGUGGGGGUUGGAAAGUUUCGGCGGUUGGGGAUGGACUCGCGGCUUAUCAGCUUGUUGGUGGGGUAGUGGCUUACCAAGGCUUUGACGGGUAGCCGGCCUGAGAGGGUGACCGGCCACAUUGGGACUGAGAUACGGCCCAGACUCCUACGGGAGGCAGCAGUGGGGAAUAUUGCACAAUGGGCGGAAGCCUGAUGCAGCAACGCCGCGUGCGGGAUGACGGCCUUCGGGUUGUAAACCGCUUUCGCCUGUGACGAAGCGUGAGUGACGGUAAUGGGUAAAGAAGCACCGGCUAACUACGUGCCAGCAGCCGCGGUGAUACGUAGGGUGCGAGCGUUGUCCGGAUUUAUUGGGCGUAAAGGGCUCGUAGGUGGUUGAUCGCGUCGGAAGUGUAAUCUUGGGGCUUAACCCUGAGCGUGCUUUCGAUACGGGUUGACUUGAGGAAGGUAGGGGAGAAUGGAAUUCCUGGUGGAGCGGUGGAAUGCGCAGAUAUCAGGAGGAACGCCAGUGGCGAAGGCGGUUCUCUGGGCCUUUCCUGACGCUGAGGAGCGAAAGCGUGGGGAGCGAACAGGCUUAGAUACCCUGGUAGUCCACGCUGUAAACGGUGGGUACUAGGUGUGGGGUCCAUUCCACGGGUUCCGUGCCGUAGCUAACGCUUUAAGUACCCCGCCUGGGGAGUACGGCCGCAAGGCUAAAACUCAAAGGAAUUGACGGGGCCCCGCACAAGCGGCGGAGCAUGCGGAUUAAUUCGAUGCAACGCGUAGAACCUUACCUGGGUUUGACAUGGAUCGGGAGCGCUCAGAGAUGGGUGUGCCUCUUUUGGGGUCGGUUCACAGGUGGUGCAUGGCUGUCGUCAGCUCGUGUCGUGAGAUGUUGGGUUAAGUCCCGCAACGAGCGCAACCCUUGUUCACUGUUGCCAGCACGUUAUGGUGGGGACUCAGUGGAGACCGCCGGGGUCAACUCGGAGGAAGGUGGGGAUGACGUCAAGUCAUCAUGCCCCUUAUGUCCAGGGCUUCACGCAUGCUACAAUGGCUGGUACAGAGAGUGGCGAGCCUGUGAGGGUGAGCGAAUCUCGGAAAGCCGGUCUCAGUUCGGAUUGGGGUCUGCAACUCGACCUCAUGAAGUCGGAGUCGCUAGUAAUCGCAGAUCAGCAACGCUGCGGUGAAUACGUUCCCGGGGCU
RNAcentral lists this ribosomal RNA (1346 nucleotides) under uncultured bacterium. Its description in RNAcentral is "bacterial SSU rRNA". It matches the Rfam family "Bacterial small subunit ribosomal RNA", at positions 28 to 1381 of the family's 1533-position model. The record is from RNAcentral.